AACGAACGCUGGCGGCAUGCCUAACACAUGCAAGUCGAACGAGACCUUCGGGUCUAGUGGCGCACGUGUGCGUAACGCGUGGGAACCUGCCCUUAGGUUCGGAAUAACUCCCCGAAAGGGGUGCUAAUACCGGAUAAUGUCUUCGGACCAAAGAUUUAUCGCCUUUGGAUGGGCCCGCGUUGGAUUAGCUAGUUGGUAGGGUAAAAGCCUAUCAAGGCGACGAUCCAUAGCUGGUCUGAGAGGAUGAUCAGCCACACUGGGACUUAGACACGGCCCAGACUCCUACGGGAGGCAGCAGUGGGGAAUAUUGGACAAUGGGCGAAAGCCUGAUACAGCAAUGCCGCGUGAGUGAUGAAGGCCUUAGGGUUGUAAAGCUCUUUUACCCGGGAUGAUAAUGACAGUACCGGGAGAAUAAGCUCCGGCUAACUCCGUG
RNAcentral lists this ribosomal RNA (433 nucleotides) under uncultured bacterium. RNAcentral's name for it is "partial 16S ribosomal RNA". It matches the Rfam family "Bacterial small subunit ribosomal RNA", at positions 29 to 507 of the family's 1533-position model. The record is from RNAcentral.